CCUACGUGAGACAGCAGUGGGGAAUAUUGCACAAUGGGGGAAACCCUGAUGCAGCGACGCCGCGUGAGUGAAGAAGUAUUUCGGUAUGUAAAGCUCUAUCAGCCGGGAAGAACAUGACGGUACCUGAUUAAGAAGCCCCGGCUAACUACGUGCCAGCAGCCGCGGUAAUACGUAGGGGGCAAGCGUUAUCCGGAUUUACUGGGUGGAAAGGGAGCGUAGACGGCAGCACAAGUCUGGAGUGAAAUGCCGGGGCUUAACCCCGGAACUGCUUUGGAAACUGUGCAGCUAGAGUGCAGGAGAGGGAAGGGGAAUUCCUAGGGUAGCGGUGAAAUGUGUAGAGAUUAGGAGGAACACCAGUGGCGAAGGCGGCUUACUGGACUGUAACUGACGUUGAGGCUCGAAAGCGUGGGGAGCAAACAGGAUUAGAUACCCGUGUAGUC
Molecule: ribosomal RNA, 440 nt
Filed under: uncultured bacterium
Lineage: Bacteria
Description: partial 16S ribosomal RNA
Rfam family: Bacterial small subunit ribosomal RNA
Source: RNAcentral